RNAcentral lists this long non-coding RNA (1131 nucleotides) under Apteryx haastii (Great spotted kiwi). RNAcentral's name for it is "lncRNA (ENSAHAG00000016195.1)". The record is from RNAcentral. Lineage: Eukaryota; Metazoa; Chordata; Aves; Apterygiformes; Apterygidae.
ACCGGGACAAUCCCGCGUGCUGCCGCCGCAGCCGGAGGAGCACAGGGACGGGGUGCCCAUGCAAACCGUCUCCCCGGGAAGCCCGGCUGGAGCCGAGGGCUCCCAGGGCCUCCGGCAGGUGGGAUCCUUCCCGGGGGAGUGUGGCAAAUAACCCGAGUUCGUGGACGCGCACACGCACCUUUCCUCACCUCAGCCCCACCAUCCUCCUCUUCCCGGAGUAAUUCCAGCUGCUGGCGCUGCUCUUGCUUCCGGCAGAUAAACCCAGCUCUGGAAGAAGAGACUUUCCACGUAGGUGACAAGUGCGGACCUGUGGGGUGGGAAACCUUGGGAAAAAGAGCCAACAGACCGAGAGCAAAGCAGAAACCGGGGGGAAGUCGGAAACGGAAGGAUUUCCAGCAGCGACGGAGAGGAGGGAGAAAGGGCGAACGUCCGGCAGCGGUUACGGGGACCGAGCCCCAGGGACGCGGGCGACCUCGGGAAAGGAAGGGGCUGGGGGCGCCCGGCGAGGAGACGGGGCAGGGAGCUCAGCUCCGCUCCGGUGGCAGGAGCUCGGCCCCCGGCAGGUCCCGACGGCGGAUUCGGGGGGUGCGAGCGGCACCGGUGUCCCGUCUCUUCGCGGAGGGAUGCAGCCAGCGCCGGCUCCGAGCCGCCGGGGCAGAGGGCAGCUGCGGGGAGACCCGGCGCUGGCACCAGCUCGGGGCAGGAGCGCCGGCUCCGCUGAGCAGAGCCCAUCCGGCGUCGAAUCCGGGCCGGCAUGGGCCCGCGGCAGCCUCCUCCCUGCGAGCUCGGCGGCAGAAACACCCCGCGAAACAGCCCGAGCGCAGCCCGGGGCUUGGGCAAGGACGCGGCACCACAGACCUGAUCCCUCCCCGGCCGCGAGUCCCGGCUGCCGAGACGCUCCAGGGAGCCCAGCGGCCGGGCUCCGCCGCAGGCACGCGGCACCGGCUCCGCACAGCGCGGGACAGCGGGUCCGAGGGCGGGAAGGGCGAUUCCUGGGCCUUUAGCCCAUCCGCUUCCCAAAGAGAUGACAAAAAGAAAGCUUUCAACCAGAGAAAAGCCACCAGGGGACAGACCAUUUGUUUUAUAUAUAUUUGUAUGUAUAUAUAUAGAGAGAUAUUUAUAUAUAUAUAG